RNAcentral lists this transfer RNA (72 nucleotides) under Bos taurus (domestic cattle). It matches the Rfam family "tRNA". From Rfam's summary of the family: Transfer RNA (tRNA) molecules are approximately 80 nucleotides in length. RNAcentral also lists the same sequence under 2 other names. The record is from Rfam by way of RNAcentral. Lineage: Eukaryota; Metazoa; Chordata; Mammalia; Artiodactyla; Bovidae.
UCCUUGGUCGCUCAGACAGUAAAGAAUCUGCCUGCAAUGCAGGAGGCCUGGGUUCAAUUCCUAGGUCAGGAA